CCACGGAAGUUUUCAGAGAUGAGAAUGUGCCUUCGGGAACCGUGAGACAGGUGCUGCAUGGCUGUCGUCAGCUCGUGUUGUGAAAUGUUGGGUUAAGUCCCGCAACGAGCGCAACCCUUAUCCUUUGUUGCCAGCGGUCCGGCCGGGAACUCAAAGGAGACUGCCAGUGAUAAACUGGAGGAAGGUGGGGAUGACGUCAAGUCAUCAUG
RNAcentral lists this ribosomal RNA (209 nucleotides) under Escherichia coli. RNAcentral's name for it is "partial 16S ribosomal RNA". It matches the Rfam family "Bacterial small subunit ribosomal RNA", at positions 988 to 1197 of the family's 1533-position model. Lineage: Bacteria; Pseudomonadati; Pseudomonadota; Gammaproteobacteria; Enterobacterales; Enterobacteriaceae. The record is from RNAcentral.